RNAcentral lists this ribosomal RNA (810 nucleotides) under uncultured Staphylococcus sp. RNAcentral's name for it is "bacterial SSU rRNA". It matches the Rfam family "Bacterial small subunit ribosomal RNA", at positions 66 to 857 of the family's 1533-position model. The record is from RNAcentral. Lineage: Bacteria; Bacillati; Bacillota; Bacilli; Caryophanales; Staphylococcaceae.
GCGAACGGACGAGAAGCUUGCUUCUCUGAUGUUAGCGGCGGACGGGUGAGUAACACGUGGAUAACCUACCUAUAAGACUGGGAUAACUUCGGGAAACCGGAGCUAAUACCGGAUAAUAUUUUGAACCGCAUGGUUCAAAAGUGAAAGACGGUCUUGCUGUCACUUAUAGAUGGAUCCGCGCUGCAUUAGCUAGUUGGUAAGGUAACGGCUUACCAAGGCAACGAUGCAUAGCCGACCUGAGAGGGUGAUCGGCCACACUGGAACUGAGACACGGUCCAGACUCCUACGGGAGGCAGCAGUAGGGAAUCUUCCGCAAUGGGCGAAAGCCUGACGGAGCAACGCCGCGUGAGUGAUGAAGGUCUUCGGAUCGUAAAACUCUGUUAUUAGGGAAGAACAUAUGUGUAAGUAACUGUGCACAUCUUGACGGUACCUAAUCAGAAAGCCACGGCUAACUACGUGCCAGCAGCCGCGGUAAUACGUAGGUGGCAAGCGUUAUCCGGAAUUAUUGGGCGUAAAGCGCGCGUAGGCGGUUUUUUAAGUCUGAUGUGAAAGCCCACGGCUCAACCGUGGAGGGUCAUUGGAAACUGGAAAACUUGAGUGCAGAAGAGGAAAGUGGAAUUCCAUGUGUAGCGGUGAAAUGCGCAGAGAUAUGGAGGAACACCAGUGGCGAAGGCGACUUUCUGGUCUGUAACUGACGCUGAUGUGCGAAAGCGUGGGGAUCAAACAGGAUUAGAUACCCUGGUAGUCCACGCCGUAAACGAUGAGUGCUAAGUGUUAGGGGGUUUCCGCCCCUUAGUGCUGCAGCUAACG